CGUAGAGUUCUUCCAGGUCUUCAGGAAGAAUGGAGACUUCUGGGAUAACAACGCGGAGCUUGAGAAAACAACCAACAACAGUGGAGAGGUGCUGGACCACAGGCGAAAUGCAGAUUCCAAUGGGCCACAGAAAAGGAAGACAGCAGGUAACUCACUCCACCUUUUCGGCAGAAUGGUACAGAGAUUACACCUGUCGGUUCUGCACAUUCAAGAGCCAAACAGCGUUUGUACUGGGGAUUUCUGGACAAGGACUGACGGCACGUCUUUGCCCCGGCUCUGGCCCUGCUCCCCAAGCACAGAAGAGGAAGAGGAGGAGGAAGGAGACAGGUUACCA
Long non-coding RNA from Lontra canadensis (Northern American river otter), 334 nucleotides. RefSeq lists it as uncharacterized. The record is from RefSeq and is a predicted model, not a curated record. The transcript has 3 exons. NCBI's taxonomy places the organism in Eukaryota, Metazoa, Chordata, Mammalia, Carnivora, Mustelidae.